This 253-nucleotide ribosomal RNA is filed under the name uncultured bacterium. Its description in RNAcentral is "partial 16S ribosomal RNA". It matches the Rfam family "Bacterial small subunit ribosomal RNA", at positions 524 to 776 of the family's 1533-position model. The record is from RNAcentral.
UACGGGGGGGGCAAGCGUUGUUCGGAAUUACUGGGCGUAAAGGGCGCGUAGGCGGUCUGCUAAGUUGGAUGUGAAAACUCUGGGCUUAACCCAGAGCCUGCAUUCAAUACUGACAGGCUAGAGUUCUGGAGGGGAUAGCGGAAUUCCUGGUGUAGCGGUGAAAUGCGUAGAUAUCAGGAGGAACACCGGUGGCGAAGGCAGCUCGCUGGGACGGUACUGACGCUGAGACGCGAAAGCGUGGGGAGCAAACAGG